Molecule: ribosomal RNA, 427 nt
Filed under: uncultured bacterium
Lineage: Bacteria
Description: partial 16S ribosomal RNA
Rfam family: Bacterial small subunit ribosomal RNA
Source: RNAcentral
UGGGGAAUAUUGGACAAUGGGCGAAAGCCUGAUCCAGCCAUGCCGCGUGUGUGAAGAAGGUCUUCGGAUUGUAAAGCACUUUAAGUUGGGAGGAAGGGCAUUAACCUAAUACGUUAGUGUUUUGACGUUACCGACAGAAUAAGCACCGGCUAACUCUGUGCCAGCAGCCGCGGUAAUACAGAGGGUGCAAGCGUUAAUCGGAAUUACUGGGCGUAAAGCGCGCGUAGGUGGUUUGUUAAGUUGGAUGUGAAAUCCCCGGGCUCAACCUGGGAACUGCAUUCAAAACUGACUGACUAGAGUAUGGUAGAGGGUGGUGGAAUUUCCUGUGUAGCGGUGAAAUGCGUAGAUAUAGGAAGGAACACCAGUGGCGAAGGCGACCCCCUGGACUAAUACUGACACUGAGGUGCGAAAGCGUGGGGAGCAAACA